Long non-coding RNA from Aphis gossypii (cotton aphid), 3580 nucleotides. RefSeq lists it as uncharacterized. The record is from RefSeq and is a predicted model, not a curated record. NCBI's taxonomy places the organism in Eukaryota, Metazoa, Arthropoda, Insecta, Hemiptera, Aphididae. The transcript has 3 exons.
GUACUCAAGACUAAUUUUUGAUAUAUUAAAAUAAAUAUAAUAUAUACAUAAUUUUCAUAAAAAAUUUAAAAAAUGAAAAAAAUAUUAAAUUUACUGUGAAUAAUAAAAAAUAGCGUUUUUAUAAAAUUUUUAGUCAAUUAAAACCCGUUCUUUAAUGUUAUUUUAUGCUCAUUAAAGACAUCAAAUUUUAAAUGUAAGAAAUAUAAAUAUACCUAUAUCAUUCAUAAUCAUUAAUCAUAAUUAAAAUUUGUAUUGAAUAUAAUUUAUUGACAAAUUCCAAAAUAGACUGGAGACACAACGACAACAAAAUAUGACACGAGCGUCACACGUUAAGGUUAAAAUAUGAUAAUAAUUGUUAAAACCUGGCCAAUUUUCGCGCGCUGUCGCAUAACUUAGCCCGAACGAGUUCAAUAACUCGGUUAAAGUUGUGAACCAGAGAGACAACAGCUGUUGUACCCUCUGCCCUUCGCGUCGUGCACUUUUAUCGCACUCGUCGCCAUUGUCAUUUGUCGGCGGCUCGGCGCGAACCGGCUUUUGCAAUUGACUCACUCAAUUUUUUACCUCGUGACUGUCGAGUUCGCGACAUGACUGGUGUCACCCCGAGUGCGCCCUAAAUUUCUGUGGUUUCCGAAUGUACCUGUCUGUGUACAGCACUACAGCUCCAGCGUUUCCACUGGUUUAACAUCACCGUAAAUAAUACAUUUUUAUACCGAUAUACGCAUUGUUGGCGUAGGUAUUAAAUCCGAACGUAGGCAUCUAGACCGUUCGGUGUCGUAAAAAACCACAUGUUGUGUGCGAGCGGAUGUGCAGAUAACUCCCGUUCGUGUGGUAUCCGCUCACCACAUACUUUCGGCCGAUAUUAUUGAGGUCCAGAAGCCACGCGUCAUGGACGUGUCAGUUUUGCCCGUUCAGAACAGUCUUGGAGGCUAGCCAGGCUAGGCCACGCGGUGUCCGUCGGUCCGACUGUAUCAAGAUCUUGAUAUGCAGUCAAUUGAAGAAGAAAUAAACGCUUAAAUAAACCGAAAAAAAUCAACAAACUGCAAUUACUUCUUGAUAGUGAAAAUUGGUGGCAAAAAGCUAUGCCAUCAGAAUUUCAAAAUUUAGUCGAAUACAUUCAAACUACUGAUCAAUUUCCAACGACUAAAUCAUCACCAAAGAUAAACAUAAUGGCUUUGAACAGACUCAAGUGUCUCAAGUGCCAAUGGUGAGAGUGAAAAAGUAAACGGUAUAAUCGAACAACAUAAUGAAGAUGAAGAAUCCAGAAAUUAUUAUUUAUCGGAUCAAAAACAGUUGUAGUGAUUGUCCGAAUAUAUAAAACAUUUAAGUAAUUGUUAUGUAGAAGUGUGUUCUCAUCAAGAUUUAAAAUUGAAAUCGAUAUUACUUACGUAUUGUGGAAACUAUAGGAACAGAUGUCUGAAUUUUUUUUAGGUAUUUUUUAGUAUUUAAGUUAUAAGUUAUAACUCAUAUACUACCAAUUCGAAUUUCGAUUAUUAUACAUUGAAAUACUCCGAAAAAAAUUCUGCUUCAGAGUAUGAAACUAAAAAUGUAUGUUAUCUUUCAAAAAUGUAAAAAAAACUUUAAAAAUAUAAGAUAAUUUUUAUAAUAGGUAUAUAAAUGUUUUUUUUUACCUAUUUAAAUUAAUAUUUAAAAAUAUUUUCAAAAACGUUAUAAGAUUUAGAAAUUAAAAGAGUGUUGUUCGGUAAAAUAAUCACUCAAUAAAAUAACAUAGUAUUCUAAAUUUUAUCAUUUUUUAAAAGUCGCAUGUCGUAUAAUAAUUAUAACAAUUAUACAAUUAUGUAUAUUAUGUAAUUAUCUAUCUAUUAUAAGUAUGUUAUUUAUUAUAAAUAAAGUUUUACUUCAAUAACUUAGGUUUGAAUGAUGUUAUUAGAUAGUUUUUUUCAACUAUUAAUAUCGUACGUACCUAUAAUUUAUUAUUUCAACAACCUUUACUUGGAUAGAUAUUAGAUAGGUAUUACCGCUGAUGGUAGGUAUCUGAAGCUAUAAUCUAUUUAUAUACAUAUAUAUAUAUAUAUGUACAAUCAGUGGUGUAUUUUCAAUAAUUUCUUGAGGGGGUUUUAAAAUUUUUAAAGCCCUACCUGUGUAAUACAAAUUGCAAUUAAGAUAACGCAGCGAUACUCCUCACCAAAAUAACCCAAGUAACCUGUCUUAAAUAGUUAUAUAGACAGUCUACAUCUUAUCUACCUCGUUAAAUUAUUAGAAAACCCAUAAUAAAAUAUUUAUUUAACAUUAAGUAACUUUUUUUUUUGUUCUGGGGGGGGGGGGUGGGGGUUUGAACCCGAAAACCACCCCCGUAAAUACGCCACUGUAUACAAUUUAAAAUUAGGUGAAUAAAGAACAAAUCAUGAAAACCAAAAAUGAGAUAAAUGGAUUCAAAAUUAUUGUAACAAUUAUAUACUGAUUUUGUUUAUUUAUUUUUUUUUUUGUUUAAUAAAAAUAAAUUAUAAAAUAAUAAACACUAUUAUUGCGCUAAAUUGUUGCUAUGUAACAUUAUCUAGGUAUUAUUUAUCUCUAUUAUGUUAAUAAUAAAAUAUUUUAAAGUCCUUACUAGAAAAUACAAGGGUACACCAUACACGGACUUGUUACAUUAGGUAUACCGUAUACAAAUAUUUCAUUUACCUUAUGAAAUUAUAUUUGUUAUUUUACUUACCUACGAGGCUACGAAAAAAACUUGAAUGCUUCAAACAAGAAUUCUUUAAAUUAAAAAAUUAAAAAACGGUCAUUAAAUCGCACACAUGUCACAUGUGAAAAACUGCUGAAAUAAUACUCACACAAUCGGCGGCUGCUGGGAAAAAACAAAAGACACGACCGUCGUCAGCCAGAUAAGCUCGGUUGUUGGACGGACCGGCAGCGGUGACACGGAAGUGAUGAAAAUCGCAAACGGUCUGGACAAUACAACAUAGAUAAAAUGGGUAUUUUGCAUAUCCCGUGAAAUACGCAUGCGGCUCAAAAAUCAUAUAAAGUAGAAGUAAUUGAAAAACGAAAUCAACUUUUAUAAACGCCUCAAUCUCAAACAGUCAAACAAAUACUGAAAUUACAGUCUGUUGACGGAAAUUCGCGAGUCGCUGUGUCCUGUGGCGUUUUCGGGAAAUAUUUUGGAAAUAUCUAUUAUCUACGUUUAAUACGUACGUACAGUUACGUACAGAGAGGUUAUGGGGUUCUUCAAAGUGGGGAAAUAAAAAGCGCCGUGGAACUAAUAGGAAUUGCUAUUUGGCUGAAUUUGUGUGAAUAACACGUCUCGAGAAACAAGAUGCAUUUCAAGCUAUUUUAAAAGAUAUUUCAGAGUUCUGGCGAUCUGGCCUCCUUUGUAAUUUAACAUAUUUUUUUUACUUUAAAAUUAUAUUACAUUUUUUAAAUUUGAAUUUUAGACUAUUUUUAAUAAUAUUAAAUAUUGAAAUAGUUUUUAAAUUUAUUGUAUUUUUUUGUUUAUUUAUUUAUUUAUGGCGGGACGAUACAUUUUUUACGGGGCACUUUAUCGGUGGGGUGAUAAUAAACAAGUACCGUUGUCAUAUUAUACAGAAAUUGUAAAUUGAAUUUGUCAUAAUAUACUAGUUUUAUGUAA